CCUACGGGUGACAGCAGUGCGGAAUAUUGGUCAAUGGACGAGAGUCUGAACCAGCCAAGUAGCGUGAAGGAUGACUGCCCUAUGGGUUGUAAACUUCUUUUAUCUGGGAAUAAAAUGUUCCACGUGUGGGAUUUUGUAUGUACCUUAUGAAUAAGGAUCGGCUAACUCCGUGCCAGCAGCCGCGGUAAUACGGAGGAUCCGAGCGUUAUCCGGAUUUAUUGGGUUUAAAGGGAGCGUAGGUGGAUUGUUAAGUCAGUUGUGAAAGUUUGCGGCUCAACCGUAAAAUUGCAGUUGAAACUGGCAGUCUUGAGUACAGUAGAGGUGGGCGGAAUGCGUGGUGUAGCGGUGAAAUGCUUAGAUAGCACGAAGAACUCCGAUUGCGAAGGCAGUUCACUGGACUGCAACUGACACUGAGGCUCGAAAGUGUGGGUAUCAAACAGGAUUAGAUACCCCAGUAGUC
RNAcentral lists this ribosomal RNA (460 nucleotides) under uncultured bacterium. RNAcentral describes it as "partial 16S ribosomal RNA". It matches the Rfam family "Bacterial small subunit ribosomal RNA", at positions 338 to 795 of the family's 1533-position model. The record is from RNAcentral.